AACGAACGCUGGCGGCAGGCUUCAUACAUGCAAGUCGAGCGGAAAGGCCCCUUCGGGGGUACUCGAGCGGCGAACGGGUGAGUAACAGGUGGGUAAUCUGCCUUUCGGAGGGGGAUAACGGCUGGAAACGGCCGCUAAUACCCCGUACGGUUGUGAAGCUCUCGGGCUUUGCAAAGAAAGGGGCCUUUAAAGCCCCGCCGAAAGAUGAGCCCGCCCCCCAUUAGCUAGUUGGCGGGGUAAUGGCCCACCAAGGCUGUGAUGGGUAGCCGAGCUGAGAGGUUGAUCGGCCACACUGGAACUGAGACACGGUCCAGACACCUACGGGUGGCAGCAGUAGGGAAUAUUGCGCAAUGGGCGAAAGCCUGACGCAGCCAUGCCGCGUGGAUGAUGAAGGCCUUGGGUCGUAAAGCUCUUUUGUCCGGAAAGAAAAGACGCCGGGUUAAUACCCUGGUGUCCUGACGGUACCGGAAGAAUAAGCACCGGCUAACUACGUG
This 494-nucleotide ribosomal RNA is filed under the name uncultured bacterium. RNAcentral's name for it is "bacterial SSU rRNA". It matches the Rfam family "Bacterial small subunit ribosomal RNA", at positions 29 to 507 of the family's 1533-position model. The record is from RNAcentral.